CUGCCGGGAGGCCCUGCUCCCAGCGACAGGGGCUCACGUCUUCCCCGCUUUGCCCCGGGUCCUGCGGCCCUGUCCCGGCUCGGCUGCCUCCCCAUCAAACCCGCUAAAACCAGAGCGAGGCGAAGCCCUCCGGCUGCGCGCUGUGCCCUGCAGACCGUGGCACCCGGUAAAACACCAAUGAAGGUGUUGCAGGGAGUGAGGGUGGAACCACAGAGCUGAAAAUACUCUCUUUUUUUCUUUUUUUUUCUCCCCUCAUUUUUGCAGACCGGCCCGUGGCCCCGGCAGCCCCCGGCGUGGUGCUGGGGGUGGGACGGGCGAGGGGAGCAGGAGCUGUGCCGGGACCCCCCAGCCCUGCCGGCAGAACCAGCUUGUAACUUCAUUUCCCCCCUAUUUAUUUACGGAUCGUCCAGAAGCAACUUUGUGCUGGGCAGCAGCACCCGCGGAGGUUUUCGUGCUCUCUGCAAGGACUUUUCACCCGGGGCACGGUCCUUUCCCUCAUCCUGUGGGGCUGCAGCAUCGCUCCCCGCCCCGGCUCGACGAGAGGCACCGUGCCGAUGCCGUGACCCAGUGUUUCUCGCCAAGUAGCCGCGGUGCCUGGGAGACACACCUCGGCCACCCGCCUUUGCCAUCUGCAGAGGGAGUACGUUUGGCAUCGGGAAGAACAAACAAAUAACCAAGGACAUGCAGGAGCAGCGUGCGGAGUGAAGCUGUUGUUUUACCCUGUCUGGGUCGGUGGUGCCCAUCGCAGGGGAAGCGUGCCCUUGCCCCAGCUUAAUUAAAUGAUGCUACCGGCCAGUAAUGGGCAGGAGAAACCCGCUGGUGCUACAGUACCUUGUGUGUCAUCAGCAAAACAAUGUUUUUAGAAAUAUUAGCAGCAGCAGAAGCUAAGAAAGUUCCUGGAUUUCUGCUGCCCUUUGUCUGGAGGAGGCUGUUCCAGCGCGGGUCUCCCUGCAGAGGGACCGGCGGGGAGGUACGUCGUCGACUGACUGUGCUGUGAAACCUUUGCUGCUUUGAAGAGCCCCCAGUGACUGAAGCACAUAUUAAAAAUAACAUAAUUGUCAGCCAAUUAUACAGUUUAAAACUAAAAAGCCAACCUUUGGUGACAGUACGUUUUUCAGAAGUGCAGGAACCUGGUCUAUUAGAAAUUAGCCAAUUAAAAAGACUCAAUAUGGCAUAAAUAAAGCUCUCCUCCUCAAGUCUGGGGAAAGUAUGCACCAAAAAAAUUCGGUAACUGCUGCUUCCGUUACCCGUGCCCUUUCCUGCCACGUGGAAAUGCCACCUCUGGCUGGAGGGAGCCGACCUGUGCCCGCGGGAGCCCUGGCAGCAGGGACGGGGAUGGCGGUGCUGGCACUCACUGUCAA
Molecule: non-coding RNA, 1361 nt
Organism: Phalacrocorax carbo (great cormorant)
Lineage: Eukaryota; Metazoa; Chordata; Aves; Suliformes; Phalacrocoracidae
Source: RefSeq, a predicted model, not a curated record